CCUACGGGGGGCUGCAGUGGGGAAUAUUGGACAAUGGGGGGAACCCUGAUCCAGCCAUGCCGCGUGUGUGAAGAAGGCCCUCGGGUUGUAAAGCACUUUCAGUGAUGAAGAACGCCUGGUGGUUAAUACCCAUCAGGAAAGACAUCACUCACAGAAGAAGCACCGGCUAACUCCGUGCCAGCAGCCGCGGUAAUACGGAGGGUGCGAGCGUUAAUCGGAAUUACUGGGCGUAAAGCGCGCGUAGGUGGCUUGAUAAGCCGGUUGUGAAAGCCCCGGGCUCAACCUGGGAACGGCAUCCGGAACUGUCAAGCUAGAGUGCAGGAGAGGAAGGUAGAAUUCCCGGUGUAGCGGUGAAAUGCGUAGAGAUCGGGAGGAAUACCAGUGGCGAAGGCGGCCUUCUGGACUGACACUGACACUGAGGUGCGAGAGCGUGGGUAGCAAACAGGAUUAGAUACCCCAGUAGUC
RNAcentral lists this ribosomal RNA (465 nucleotides) under Vreelandella stevensii. RNAcentral's name for it is "partial 16S ribosomal RNA". It matches the Rfam family "Bacterial small subunit ribosomal RNA", at positions 338 to 795 of the family's 1533-position model. Lineage: Bacteria; Pseudomonadati; Pseudomonadota; Gammaproteobacteria; Oceanospirillales; Halomonadaceae. The record is from RNAcentral.